This is a long non-coding RNA of Herpailurus yagouaroundi (jaguarundi), 460 nucleotides long. RefSeq lists it as uncharacterized. Lineage: Eukaryota; Metazoa; Chordata; Mammalia; Carnivora; Felidae. The transcript has 3 exons. The record is from RefSeq and is a predicted model, not a curated record.
AUCAGGACUGGAAGGAGGUGAGAAAAUGGCCCUGACACUCCUUGUCUGAAGACACUGUGAAUAGAGUCUUUGCCCACAGUAUCCAGCCCUCCUGUGCAAGCAGGCUCCCGGCCAGACGCUCUUGAAAGCAGAUACCAAUUCAUGCGGACUCUCUUUCCUAAAUCCCUCAUCCUUCCCUCGUCUCAGGGAUCUGCCAGCACUUUCCUUCCGGACCUCAGCAUCUCAGCUGGGCACCACAGUAGUCCCGCAGCUGUUUUCAUGGGAUUCGUUUCUCCCACUCUCAAUCUGUCCUCUACGGAAUCAUCAGAAAGCCCUUUCUGAAACCACCUGGGACACAUCACUCCAUCCUUAAAGCACCUCAAGCGUUUCCAGACCCUGAAGAAAACCUCUCUUCAGCUUUUCUGAUACCUUAGGACACAUUUUGCUAAUGGCUGCACAAAAUAAAUGGAGAUGAACCACA